AGCAACGGCGGCGUCUCUACGGCAACAUCCUCCGAUGUCCCCUCUCUGCUGUUGUCACCGCGACUCAGCUGUUGUUUGUGAGACAGUACAAAUCUCAUUGUUUGUCCUGGUCGUACGGAGGAUUUUAGAGUAUGCUUUACCUCGAGGGCGCUCACAGCAGCCACCGUUUGUGUCUGACGACUAAAAGCACCUUAAGUUGAGAUCAACUUGGACACUACUGGAUCCUCUCCUCCUCUUCAUCACUGGUCGUGUCUCCCUCUUGCAGAAGAACGGCAGUCUGCGCCGUCUGCUACAGCCCGGUGCUGCUCCCUCUCAUCAUCUGGACAGUCUCAUCUGCAGGCGCCGGUUCUCAUGCAUCUGGAUGGAUCCCGCCGUGCUUAUCUUCCUGCUGUAUGUGAUGAUCGCGCACGAGCUGAUCAGCGGCUGGAUGCAGUACAAGAGACAGAGUAAUAAGCCUCGUAAACGAGCAGCUGGACCGCUGCUGCGCUCCAGGUGUGUGUGCGAGGGGGUGUUUUUUAAUUGUAUUUUAUUUUAUUUUAUUUUAUUUUAUUUUAUUUUAUUUUAUUUUAUUUUAUUUAUGUAUUUUUAUUUUUAUUUUUAUUUUUAUUUUAUUUAUUGAUUUAUUUUUUUUUGGGGGGGGUAAUGUUAAACUUAAUGAUGCUGAUGUAGAGAUUUCAUUAUUUACAAUACCUGUUAUCAAAAGAUUUGGCCGUGAAUUAAAGGGAUAUUCUGCCGUAAAACUAAGUUAGGGUCAAACACACCGUAACACCGAGUUAGACAACCCCUCCAGAGAUAAAUGUUGGCGACCGCUUGCUUCUCUCAUACCAACUUUUGUGACGACCGCACGAUAGCAAUACAAAGAGCCAUGCGCUCAACCAAAACGCCACUCUAUAGCCACAAAUAGUGUUCAGAACAGUACCUAACUUCAUCAACAGUACAUAUAGGGUCCUAGCCAUAGUACUAGCCACCAAACAUCUUUUUAACUUUGCCUGAUUUCUUUAGCAAAGAGACUAAACACAACUCACCUACUCUCUUCCAGCAGCUGCUUGUUUGCAGCGAGGCCUCCGGGCGAGUCCUAAAAACACUUGGUAACAAAGUGUACAGCACAUAUAUCAGAAAGGCCUGCCCGAAGCUGUCACCUGGCUCAUCGUGACUCAUUUUGUUCCAUUUCCCUCUCAAGGUGUUGUUUUCUGUUGAAGUCAGGUUUCUGUGCAGGACCAUCAAGUCCUUCCACACUUAACUGGUGGACAAACUGGACAUACUAUUUCCUAAUAGAUCAGGCCCUGCUUUAUCUUUAAGUAUUGACAUGAUGAAGAGGCCGGUGUUUGCUUUUACUAAGAUGUUCAGACUCAACUGGAACAGUGAGCCGAGCUGAAGCUUUUUAAGUUUAACAGUAACAGUAACAAAAAAAAAAAAGUGCCUCUGAGGAACGACUGAGAAGUUAUGUGAUGUCCUGGCACACCGCCAGUCUGAAACAUUGCUUUGAGCGUUGCGUGUUAUUCGUUGACAUCUAAAAGGCAUUCUAUAAACAGGUUGAGUUUCAUUUAUUGUCCUAAAACAAUCAUUAGAUGAUUCAAUUGUGCAUCAAAGGUUUAAUUUUCAGGGUUCACUGACUGGGCGUUAGGUAUGAUGCCAGAAAUAUGACGCCACCUGAUGAUCCCAUCGAACCGCGAUUAUAUAACAGAACACCCACUCCUUCAGUCAUUAAGGUUGUGUGUUCCUGUUGUUCUUGUUGUAAUCACCUGUACCUCCUCCUCAGUGCCCGGGUGUGUCAGGGAGCCUGGAGGGUAAGCAGCCUGUCUCUGACGGACAGAGGGGGGAGGGACCUGAGGAAGAGUGGACGCAUCGUGAGGAAAGCCUGAUGGAUGGACGCUGGUUUGUUGAUGAAUAACUCGGGACUACAUCUCCAAGAGGCUGAUUCAAGCUCACUUUGCCUUUAUUUCCGUGCUACAUUUGGGCAUUAGAAGCAUUUAGUGCUGUGGUUAUUACUGUGACACACUUACCAAAAAUACUCCUGACAUCAGGUUGCAGAUUUCAGAAUGCUUGAGGAUUAAAACAAGUCCAAAAAUGCUUUAUUUUUAUGUAAAAAUCAGAGGGGGUGGUCUGUGAUGACACCCCCACAGUCCCACCCCUGUCAUGUUACAGCCAACUCGAGACGCCGCCCCAUAAUCUUAAACUCUGAUUGGAUAUCCUCCAAAAGUGGGACUUAUAUCCAAAUCAACUUACUGGAGUGUGUUUCAACAUGCUGCUUGUAGCUUUUGUGGCAUUGAAAUGUAGCAUAUCUCCUUUUGUUGGCUCUUCUCACUGCUGCUUUUGGUGAUACAUCUGAAAGAGUUUCACAUGUAGCCCCUCAGUUGUGUUAUUUGGUAAAUUUAAAUAGUCAAAGAAGAGUUACCUCUGAAUAAUAAUAGUUAAAGAAGCUGUUCGGUUUCUUUGAAGUUGAUUGUAUGAGGAAUUUGUCAAAAGUAAGUGUAUAAUUCACAGGGGAUUUUCUGGUAUUUGGCCCUUUGUUAAGAGGAAAACCAGAAAAGCAGCAUGAGAUCUAGGCUACCAAUUGCUACAAAUGCAACAACACUACGUCAUUUUCAAAAACUGUGACCCAAGCACAAAUGCCUGUGUGAAUAUGAACUUAAUCUUUCAGUGUUCUACAUCAAUGUGAGCAAGUCUCUUAGUUUUUGCACUAUCUACGGCUGCAACACAUCUAAUCAGAACAUCUGUGCCAUGUUGGAGGACAAGACAAGAUUUAAAAGACUUUUUGCUGAUUGUGUGAAAUGCUUUCUUUUUUUUCCUUUUUUAUUUAUUUAUUUAUUAUUAUUUUUAUCAUUAUUAUUUUUAUACCGUGUGAACACAAACAUCAGCGGCCACAUUAUCACUGAAACCAACAAAAGUAAAAGAAGUUUACGUCCUAUUUCCGUUGAUGGUCUUAUUCUUUAGCACAGAAGCCAUCAGCUAUAACUCCACCUCUUUGGAUAGGUUGAGUCAUCAUUUCUAACAUGCAGACCACUGCUGAUAGGCUUCAAACUCAGCUCCAGAAACCAAUAGUUUUCGUCACUGAGACCAUGCCCAUGUUCUACAGUCUAUGACACCAACACUAUUUUUCCUUUUUUUUUUUUUAUCAGUUUCUUAAGAUUUGCCAUGUUAUGAGUUAGCUUUGACUUUGUUUGCUACUGGGCUGGUUCCUCAGCUGGUUUCUCGAUUAAGGAGCUGAGCUGACCAGGAUGUAAUCUUGGGGAUUCACCUGCUAUUGAUAAGAACCUUGUAUAACCUCAUUUCAAACUAUCCCUUAAACUAGAUUAGAUCAGUGGACACGGAAAUGGAAAACAUAUUUUAAAUGUGCACACACACAUAAUUUUUCCCACCCCUGCAUAUCGCAGUGCCCCAGCUGGGCCACUUCCUUAUCUCAUUCACAUAUUUUCAUUACUCUCUUUCUUAUCUUAUGACUGCUUCAUAUCUGAUCAGUAGCUGAGUUUCAUUUUGUAAGUGUUAUUUUGAGCUUCAAUGUCUCAAUUUGUUUUCUUUGAUCAUCGUUUUUUUGUUUGACAGACGUACAACUACCUUAGCUGGAAGUGAGUGAUAGUGACAGGAAAGUCGCAGCACACCUGUCUUCAGUUUGAGGCUAUUUUUAUUUAUUUGUUUAUUGAUUUUGUAUUAGGAUAUGACAAUUUAGUCAUAUCAGCCCAGCAGCCAUGUUGCAGACCUCCAAAUCACUGCCCACGUCACAGAUCCUCUCCCUAUGUAAAUUUGUGCUCACUGACAGCUUUGUUCCCAGCUGGACAAAGGAACAAAACAGCUAAUCAUAACUACUUCACCACAACAUGUGAUCCAACCAACUAUGGAAGGAAAUGAUGACGACCAAAGCUUAAACUUGUAAUUUGAGUUUAAAAAAUGUAACAUUUAACAAAGCACGUGUUUACACUGACAUUUCUAGGUGAAAGUUUUAAAUUCAGAAUCAGAGAAGUCUUUACUUUAAUGAAAAUACCAACAGAGCUGCGAGGAAGAGGACCUUGAAUAGGUGCUGCUGUUGUUUUCAGCUUCUGUUAACAACACCAAAAGAAAAACUCUUACAUUUUGACAUCACUGUGAAUGUUAUUGUAAAGUUUGGCAUACUUUAUUACAUUAAAAUCAGACCAACGAGAGGGACUUCAAUGCAAAGUUCAUUUUGGGUUAAUGCCAUGGAAGCAACACCAACCAUCAAACGCUGGGGACUUUUAUUUGCUGCAUAAAUCACCUUUUUUUGAAUCAAUAGAGUUGUCUUUUACUCAAAA
RNAcentral lists this long non-coding RNA (4265 nucleotides) under Xyrichtys novacula (pearly razorfish). The record is from RNAcentral. Lineage: Eukaryota; Metazoa; Chordata; Actinopteri; Labriformes; Labridae.